RNAcentral lists this long non-coding RNA (1556 nucleotides) under Podarcis lilfordi (Lilford's wall lizard). The record is from RNAcentral. Lineage: Eukaryota; Metazoa; Chordata; Lepidosauria; Squamata; Lacertidae.
AGUUAUAACAUGUGAAGUGGCCCUAUGCAAGAGAGUAGGAAGAUAUGGCGACUUCUGCCCUGCUUAAUUUGUUCUUGAACAUAGCACAAAUAGAGCUUAUAAAUUCUUCAUUAAAGACACAUGUAUAUUUCAUCCGUGAUCAAAACCGUAAGUGUUUCUCAUACCCAUUUUUUGCAUGUAAGUUCUUUACCCCUGUGUCCACAUCAACAAGGACCUCUGCAAGGCAGCAGCUUAAUUGCCGAUGCUGCCAAAUCCCCAUAGAGAAUAUGUCUCUUUUCAUUCCGGUCUUCCUUUUCCUUGUUAAUGCAGAAAGAUGAUUAAAAAUUGAAUUUCCAUAAUGCUGCACUAUAAACGGCUAUUUAUAAGCAGAUAACUGGAUUAGUUGCUAUGGAAACAGAAAAUAUCGUGCCGAAAUCGAAUCAGCAUAAUCUAGAAAGGAUCACUUCUGUUCAGGCAUGGCACCCUGUUACUCCUCUAUUUAUCUUCUUCUCUGCUCCCAGCCAUGGCUGUAGAAAUCCCAUCACGGCCCCCAUAUCCCCUUCUGCAUUUGUGGUUGAAGUGGGGUGGGUGGGGGGUAGAACGAGAAAACCAUACUGUGGAACUAGGAGGAGGUCUGCAAAUUUUGCUCUCUCUUUUAGAAUUGAGCUUCAGAAUUUGGUUUUUGUUUCGGUCCAUGAAACUGUGGGGACUAAUUCAUUUCAAGCGAACCAUACUAUAAUCACCACUUUGCGAUUCUGAAUGCCGAUGUGCCGUCAAUAAAGCUAUCAAAAGAAGCUGAGCCAUGUUGAUAUACAAAGAUGGCAAUGCUUGCCGUGUGCACAUCAGGCUCCUGUGAUGCUGGCAUGUUUCUAUGGCAACAUGCCUCUUGCCUCAUCACUGUAGCAACAGGUGCCUGAUCCCUUUGGCAGCCAGUCUGAAAAUCUGCAACAGUAUUGUAAUUGUAUCCUUUUUGCUGGCUCACAAUUUUCUGCUCUCCAGCGCUGCUAAUCAGGGCCAACGGAAAGAGCCCGAUCUUGCAAUCUGGCUUGGCCACCAUUCGGUAUAAGAGGAACUCAAUAAGCAUUUUAGGGAAGCUUUUAAUGUUUGAUGUAUUACAGUAUUUUGAUAUUUCUUUGGAAGCCGCCUAGAGUGGCUGGGGAAGCCCAGCCAGAUGGGCGGGGUAUAAUAAAUAAAUAAAUAAAUAAAUAAAUAAAUAAAUAAAUAAAUAAUUUUCUUAUCUGGACCCUCAUUGCAAAUUUUUAUCAAUGAAUUGCUUAAAGGUGGUCCGAAAGUAAUUUCAUGUGGACCACCCAGAGCUCACUGAUUGCUGGAAUACUGACAAAGAAUGCUAGACUAGGUAGGUCUUAAAACAAAUCCACCAGAGAACUUGAGCUUUUAAGCAAGAGUGAUUACUUAAAAUAAUUUAACAGACAUUAGUUUUGCCUGACCUGUUCAGAAAUCCUGAGUAUGUGCUUUGGCCUUAUAACAUGGGGAUUCUAGUUAAAGAAUUGGGCUACACAAAAGUAUAGCCGGGCCAUAUCUGAUGACACACCGUAUAUUUAAAGCACUAUUAUACC